GCCGGUUUCCGAAACUUAAGAAAAUGUAGGUUUCGGGAGCUUUACUUGAUUUAUAAAACGAAGUCCAGUCCAGUAUUCCCGUCGAUAGGCCGGGAAUCACCAGAUUGAUGACGACGAGAAGAAGAUUGGGGAAGAAAUGCGCAAACUGUUUUUUAACAGAAGUUUGAAAAAUAAACUGAAUGAGAUUAAUUUCUAUUGAUUUAAAAUGUAAAUUUACAUAGUUUAUUUAUAAGGUUUUACUAUUUUAUUACAACCCAAAACUUAUUUAUAUAUUGCAACUAUGUCCUUCAAUAUAUCUAACUUGCUUAUUUCCUUUCUGGGCUGAUUCUGAAGUUUUGGGCUUGAUCCAUUAACCUGAAACAAAGUUAUUAGUAAUAUCAAUUAUAUAGAUUAUAACUAACACUUAGUUCAAUCAAGUUUUAAUUAAGGGUUAACUUGAUUUGAUUAUAACAAUAUGAUUUGAAAUUAAAUUUGAAUUCUAAUUUUUUUUAAGACAAUUUAGAUUAAAAUAAAAUAAAGAGAUUACAAUUAUCAAUCACUAACACAAGUGUUGGUACCAUGGACCGCGGACUGCGGCCCAUGGACCGAACAGGACCCGUCGGCGGCCCAGGCGACGGGACGAGCCCAACGCACGAGUCCACGACGGGCUCAAGGUCAGCAACAGAAAGCUAUAAAUACCUCCCCUGGUCCAACAGGGGAGGGGGUUGACAAAUUUAGAGAGAAAACUGAUACCAAGUGGUGGUUUUGAGAUAACUCCGGCGAACCCUCACACCAACAAUAAGAAAGCAAUUAAAUAAAUAACUAAAAGUAUACGAUAAGAUGUGUGAACUUGUUAAUCUUCAGCUUAUAAAUCAGUAACCAAUAACGAAGCUUUUUCCCAUCUUCUGAUAGUUGUGUCUUCCAAACUUAACUUGUGCGAUUUUUUAUAUAGACGGUGGUUAUAGAUAGUAACCAAAUCUCGUAUGAAAUCUCUUACGAUGACCUUAACCGACCGAGAGAGCCCCACCUUAUGUCGUAGAUUUCUCUCUCUUCAAAAAUGCCAUAUAUAUACUGUAAGUGCAUUCCAAUGUAAACCCCAGCAUGGUGCUGAUUUCCUGAAUUUGGAUAUCCCUUCAAUGAUAUCAUCCACCCUUAUGUCUCAUUAUUUUAUCGUUGUGAUACCCAUAGUCUUUCAUAAAGCAAAAUCUGUCAAUCGUGUGAAUUCAUUCCAAAGAGUCCAGCUGAAAUCGCAAUUAAAAAAUAGAUGGGAUGUCGUUUCCUCAGUUGCGUCGCAUAUGACACAUUUUGCCGGCACUACUACCUUCCAAUUUCUCUAUCUGUCGAAUGUUCUUAGAUUUCCCCAUCUCAAUCUCCAUAAGCAGAAGACCAUUUUAGAGGUACGACAUGUCCACACCCCAUCGGGCAGAGGGUCAGAGGUGGCUGUCGGUGAUAAUUUUGUUUUUAUAAGACCCGAUUUUAUGCUUCCACUGCCUAAGCGAUCCAACCCUUCAGAAGAUGAAAUUUAGGUGCACGCUCAGACAACGAAAUUAAAAGAGACCUGAAAUUGAUCAGAGCAGUUGAAGAAGAUAUAACUUUUAUAUAUAUUCUUCUUUUUUUGUGGUGUUGGCCGUUUC
This 1613-nucleotide long non-coding RNA is filed under the name Zostera marina. RNAcentral describes it as "long non-coding RNA (ZMAR_LNC004625)". The record is from RNAcentral. Lineage: Eukaryota; Viridiplantae; Streptophyta; Magnoliopsida; Alismatales; Zosteraceae.